AAGAAAUUAGCUUAAUAGGUAGAGCAUCUGUUUUACACAUAGAAGGUUAAGUGUUCAAAUCACUUAUUUUUUA
Molecule: non-coding RNA, 73 nt
Organism: Lophiostoma macrostomum CBS 122681
Lineage: Eukaryota; Fungi; Ascomycota; Dothideomycetes; Pleosporales; Lophiostomataceae
Source: the annotation of a GenBank genome assembly